GGCGGCUUUUCAUCCAUACCCCUGUGAACCUUUGGCCUCUUGCUAGCCUUGGCCGGCAGAGGAAUUUUUACACCCACUCGAAUGUAAUGAAAUUAUUGUUGUGCGUAAGCACUAAUGUACAACUUUCAACAACGGAUCUCUUGGCUCUCGCAUCGAUGAAGAACGCAGCGAAAUGCGAUAAGUAAUGUGAAUUGCAGAAUUCAGUGAAUCAUCGAAUCUUUGAACGCACCUUGCACCCUUUGGCAUUCCGAAGGGUAUGCUCGUUUGAGUGUCAUUGUACUCUCACACUUCUGAUCUUUGGAUUGGGAGCGGUGGACUUGGGUGUUGCUGCUUUGCGGUGGCUCGCCUCAAAUGCAUUAGUGCAACUCUUGGUUAGACAUAGUACGGCGUGAUAAGUAUCUUCGCCGGCACCUCGCAAGAGGGUGGCUGAUCAGGAGCUCUGUGCUUCCAACAGUCUGUGUUCAGACAACAACUGACAACUUGACCUC
RNAcentral lists this ribosomal RNA (488 nucleotides) under uncultured Sebacinaceae. Its description in RNAcentral is "eukaryotic LSU rRNA". The stretch from base 121 to 274 matches the Rfam family "5.8S ribosomal RNA". Lineage: Eukaryota; Fungi; Basidiomycota; Agaricomycetes; Sebacinales; Sebacinaceae. The record is from RNAcentral.